Molecule: ribosomal RNA, 471 nt
Filed under: uncultured soil bacterium
Lineage: Bacteria
Description: bacterial SSU rRNA
Rfam family: Bacterial small subunit ribosomal RNA
Source: RNAcentral
AGGACGAACGCUGGCGGCGUGCUUAACACAUGCAAGUCGAGCGGUAAGGCCUUUCGGGGUACACGAGCGGCGAACGGGUGAGUAACACGUGGGUGAUCUGCCCUGCACUUCGGGAUAAGCCUGGGAAACUGGGUCUAAUACCGGAUAUGACUUCAGGUUGCAUGACUUGGGGUGGAAAGAUUUAUCGGUGCAGGAUGGGCCCGCGGCCUAUCAGCUUGUUGGUGGGGUAAUGGCCUACCAAGGCGACGACGGGUAGCCGACCUGAGAGGGUGACCGGCCACACUGGGACUGAGACACGGCCCAGACUCCUACGGGAGGCAGCAGUGGGAAUAUGCACAAUGGGCGAAAGCCUGAUGCAGCGACGCCGCGUGAGGAUGACGGCCUUCGGGUUGUAAACCUCUUUCAGCAGGGACGAAGCGCAAGUGACGGUACCUGCAGAAGAAGCACCGCUAACUACGUGCCAGCAGCCGC